AGAGUUUGAUCCUGGCUCAGGAUGAACGCUGGCGGCGUGCUUGAUACAUGCAAGUCGAACGGAGAGUGUAGCAAUAUACUUUUAGUGGCGAACGGGUGAGUAACGCGUUGGUGACCUGCCCCGAAGCGAGGGAUAACAGUUCGAAAGAACUGCUAAUACCUCAUGUGAUCACCGGUUUUAGAAUCUGGUGAUUAAAGGUGAAAAUCACUUCGGGAGGGGCCUGCGUCCCAUCAGCUAGUUGGUAAGGUAAUGGCUUACCAAGGCGAUGACGGGUAGGGGACCUGAGAGGGUGGCCCCCCACAAUGGAACUGAAACACGGUCCAUACACCUACGGGUGGCAGCAGUAGGGAAUAUUGCAAGUGGGCGAAAGCCUGAUGUAGCAACGCCGCGUGUGCGAUGAAGGUCUUCGGAUUGUAAAGCACUUUUUGGAGGGAUGAGGAAGGACAGUACCUCCAGAAUAAGCCUCGGCUAACUACGUGCCAGCAGCCGCGGUAACACGUAGGAGGCAAGCGUUAUUCGGAUUUACUGGGCGUAAAGCGCGUGCAGGCGGUUUGGAAAGUUGGAUGUGAAAGCUCCUGGCUCAACUGGGAGAGGUCGUUCAAAACUUCCAGACUUGAGAGUGGUAGAGGGAGGUGGAAUUCCGGGUGUAGUGGUGAAAUGCGUAGAUAUCCGGAGGAACACCAGUGGCGAAAGCGGCCUCCUGGACCACUUCUGACGCUCAGACGCGAAAGCUAGGGUAGCAAACGGGAUUAGAGACCCCGGUAGUCCUAGCUGUAAACGAUGUGAACUUGGCGUUGGUGGGUUUAAAUCCAUCAGUGCCGAAGCUAACGCGAUAAGUUCACCGCCUGGGGACUACGGCCGCAAGGUUAAAACUCAAAUGAAUUGACGG
Molecule: ribosomal RNA, 889 nt
Filed under: Chloroflexi bacterium enrichment culture clone B312159
Lineage: Bacteria; Bacillati; Chloroflexota
Description: bacterial SSU rRNA
Rfam family: Bacterial small subunit ribosomal RNA
Source: RNAcentral